AUCUCGGCAGUAGCCAUGGCGUCCAUGAGUUUACUGCAGCUGGCUUCGGUCACUGCGGUGGCCGCACUGUGUGGCCGCCGCCUUGGCACUCGGCUUGGUUUCGGGGACUUCCUCACGCGAGGCGUUCCGAAGACUAUCGCUCCUGUGCGACACAGUGGAGACCAUGGAAAAAGACUGUUUAUCAUCAAACCUUCUGGAUUCUAUGACAAGCGUUUUCUGAGUUUACUGAAAUUCUACAUUUUGUUGACUGGGGUUCCAGUAGUAAUUGGCAUAACUCUGGUGAAUAUAUUCAUUGGUGAAGCUGAGUUAGCAGAAAUCCCAGAAGGCUAUGUCCCAGAACACUGGGAAUAUUUCAAGCAUCCUAUAUCAAGAUGGAUUGCCCGAACUUUCUAUGAUAGUCCUGAAAAGAAUUAUGAAAAAACAAUGGCUAUCCUUCAAAUUGAAGCUGAAAAGGCUGAAUUGCGGUUAAAGGAGCAGGAUGUACGAAGAUUAAUGCGUGCGAGAGGCGAUGGUCCCUGGUAUCAGUAUCCAACCAUUGAUAAGGAGCUUAUUGAUCAUGCUCUAAAAGCAAGCCCUGACAACUAAUCUUUUUAUUUCUCUAAAUACAAAGUAUAUUCUC
RNA transcript from Hipposideros armiger (great roundleaf bat), 619 nucleotides. It is a transcript of the gene named NADH dehydrogenase [ubiquinone] 1 beta subcomplex subunit 5, mitochondrial pseudogene, with no coding region annotated. The record is from RefSeq and is a predicted model, not a curated record. NCBI's taxonomy places the organism in Eukaryota, Metazoa, Chordata, Mammalia, Chiroptera, Hipposideridae. The transcript has a single exon.